CCUACGGGGUGCACCAGUGGGGAAUAUUGCACAAUGGGGGAAACCCUGAUGCAGCAACGCCGCGUGAGUGAAGAAGGCCUUAGGGUUGUAAAGCUCUUUCACCGGUGAAGAUAAUGACGGUAACCGGAGAAGAAGCCCCGGCUAACUUCGUGCCAGCAGCCGCGGUAAUACGAAGGGGGCUAGCGUUGUUCGGAAUUACUGGGCGUAAAGCGCGCGUAGGCGGAUAGAUAAGUCAGAGGUGAAAUCCCGGGGCUCAACCCCGGAAUUGCCUUUGAUACUGUUUAUCUUGAGUGCAGAAGAGGUAAGUGGAAUUCCGAGUGUAGAGGUGAAAUUCGUAGAUAUUCGGAGGAACACCAGUGGCGAAGGCGGCUUACUGGUCUGCAACUGACGCUGAGGCGCGAAAGCGUGGGGAGCAAACAGGAUUAGAUACCCGGGUAGUC
This 440-nucleotide ribosomal RNA is filed under the name uncultured bacterium. RNAcentral describes it as "bacterial SSU rRNA". It matches the Rfam family "Bacterial small subunit ribosomal RNA", at positions 338 to 795 of the family's 1533-position model. The record is from RNAcentral.